UCCCUGGUGGUCCAGUGGUUAGGACUUGGCACUUACACUGCCGGGGGCCCAAAUUCAAUCCCUGGUUGGGGAA
Non-coding RNA from Physeter macrocephalus (sperm whale), 73 nucleotides. Lineage: Eukaryota; Metazoa; Chordata; Mammalia; Artiodactyla; Physeteridae. The record is from the annotation of a RefSeq genome assembly.